This 203-nucleotide unclassified non-coding RNA is filed under the name uncultured fungus. RNAcentral describes it as "sequence contains ITS1". Lineage: Eukaryota; Fungi. The record is from RNAcentral.
UUAUUUUGUUUUUGUAAUAAUACAUUUUUUACAUUUAGAGUUUGUAAAGUGCAAGUCACGAGGACAUUGCAGACAGUUCACAGGUGUUAUGGAUGUGUAUUAUCUCCGGGCGCCGCGGGGGACGCCCAGAACGCCAUGCGACAUUGCUGCCACACGACAAGAUGAAUUCACUAAUGAUCCUUCCGCAGGUUCACCUACGGAAA